Molecule: ribosomal RNA, 150 nt
Filed under: uncultured Rhodocyclaceae bacterium
Lineage: Bacteria; Pseudomonadati; Pseudomonadota; Betaproteobacteria; Rhodocyclales; Rhodocyclaceae
Description: partial 16S ribosomal RNA
Rfam family: Bacterial small subunit ribosomal RNA
Source: RNAcentral
CUACGGGAGGCAGCAGUGGGGAAUUUUGGACAAUGGGCGCAAGCCUGAUCCAGCCAUGCCGCGUGAGUGAAGAAGGCCUUCGGGUUGUAAAGCUCUUUCGGCGGGGAAGAAAUCGCAUUCUCUAAUACAGGAUGUGGAUGACGGUACCCG